AAAGACUUAGUCCUAACCUUACCGUUAACUCUUGCUAGACAUAUACAUGCAAGUAUCCGCGCCCCAGUGUAAAUGCCCUUGAUUUUCUUACCAAGAUGAGAGGAGCGGGCAUCAGGCACACACCUAAACGUAGCCCAAGACGCCUUGCUUAGCCACACCCCCAUGGGUACUCAGCAGUAAUUAACCUUAAGCAAUAAGCGAAAGCUUGACUUAGUUAUAGCAAUACCUUAGGGUUGGUAAAUCUUGUGCCAGCCACCGCGGUCACACAAGAGACCCAAGUUAACCGUGAUACGGCGUAAAGAGUGGUAUCAUGCUAUCAAACCAGCUAAGAUCAAAAUACAGCUGAGCUGUCAUAAGCAUAAGAUGUACGUAAGAUCACCCUCAAAACGAUCUUAGCACCUACGAUCAAUUAGCCGCCACGAAAGCUAGGGCACAAACUGGGAUUAGAUACCCCACUAUGCCUAGCCCUAAAUCUUGAUACUUACCCCACCAAAGUAUCCGCCCGAGAACUACGAGCGCAAACGCUUAAAACUCUAAGGACUUGGCGGUGUCCCAAAUCCACCUAGAGGAGCCUGUUCUAUAAUCGAUAACCCACGAUACACCCAACCGUUCCUUGCCAAAACAGCCUACAUACCGCCGUCGCCAGCCCACCUCCCCUGAGAGCUCAACAGUGGACACAAUAGCCUACCCCGCUAGCAAGACAGGUCAAGGUAUAGCCCAUGGAGCGGAAGAAAUGGGCUACAUUUUCUAAAAUAGAAAACUUCUACGGAAGGGGGUAUGAAACAACCCCUAGAAGGCGGAUUUAGCAGUAAAGCGGGAUAAUAUAAGCCUCCUUUAAACCGGCCCUGGGACACGUACAUACCGCCCGUCACCCUCCUCACAAGCUACAAGUCUCUAAUAACUAAUACACUCAUUAGCCAAAGAUGAGGUAAGUCGUAACAAGGUAAGUGUACCGGAAGGUGCGCUUAGCAUAC
RNAcentral lists this non-coding RNA (974 nucleotides) under Thalassarche melanophris (Black-browed albatross). RNAcentral describes it as "Thalassarche melanophrys (Black-browed albatross) 12S ribosomal RNA". It matches the Rfam family "Bacterial small subunit ribosomal RNA". The record is from RNAcentral. Lineage: Eukaryota; Metazoa; Chordata; Aves; Procellariiformes; Diomedeidae.